Populus euphratica (Euphrates poplar) is the source of this 110-nucleotide long non-coding RNA. RefSeq lists it as uncharacterized. The transcript has 2 exons. The record is from RefSeq and is a predicted model, not a curated record. NCBI's taxonomy places the organism in Eukaryota, Viridiplantae, Streptophyta, Magnoliopsida, Malpighiales, Salicaceae.
AUACUAUUAUAUAUAUAAGGGAGCCUAACAACUAGCUCGUGAUUUCUUUCCUUUCCAUGUGACUUAUAACAGAAUUAUAAACUCUAUAAAACGCGUCGUUUUGGACUUAA